AUUGAACGCUGGCGGAAUGCUUUACACAUGCAAGUCGAACGGCAGCACGGACUUCGGUCUGGUGGCGAGUGGCGAACGGGUGAGUAAUGUAUCGGAACGUGCCCAGUCGUGGGGGAUAACGUAGUGAAAAUUACGCUAAUACCGCAUACGAUCUAUGGAUGAAAGCGGGGGAUCGCAAGACCUCGCGCGAUUGGAGCGGCCGAUAUCAGAUUAGGUAGUUUGUGGGGUAAAGGCCCACCAAGCCAACGAUCUGUAGCUGGUCUGAGAGGACGACCAGCCGCACUGGAACUGAGACACGGUCCAGACUCCUACGGGAGGCAGCAGUGGGGAAUUUUGGACAAUGGGCGAAAGCCUGAUCCAGCCAUUCCGCGUGCAGGAUGAAGGCCCUCGGGUUGUAAACUGCUUUUGUACAGAGCGAAAAGGUUUCUACUAAUACUAGGAGCUCAUGACGGUACUGUAAGAAUAAGCACCGGCUAACUACGUGCCAGCCGCCGCCGUAA
This 500-nucleotide ribosomal RNA is filed under the name uncultured bacterium. RNAcentral's name for it is "partial 16S ribosomal RNA". It matches the Rfam family "Bacterial small subunit ribosomal RNA", at positions 30 to 523 of the family's 1533-position model. The record is from RNAcentral.